UAUCACUAAGCGGCGGAAAAGAAACUAACCAGGAUUCCCCUAGUAACGGCGAGUGAACGGGGACUAGCCCAGCACCGAAGCCUGCGUCCGUUUGGGCGUAAGGCACUGUGGUGUUUAGGUGGUCGCAUGUUGAUUCCUCUGCUGCCCCAAGUCCAGUAAUGAAUAUGGCUAUACUAACGGCCCAGAGAGGGUGAAAGGCCCGUGGGGGCAGUGUGUUCUGUUGAGGCAUCGACUGCGUCCGCCCUGGAGUCGGGUUGUUUGUGAAUGCAGCCCAAAGUGGGUGGUAGACUCCAUCUAAGGCUAAAUACUGGCACGAGUCCGAUAGCGAACAAGUACCGUGAGGGAAAGUUGAAAAGAACUCUGAAGAGAGAGUAAACAGUGCGUGAAACCGCUUAGAGGUAAACGGGUGUAGUCAAGCUGCAAGCCCUUUGGGGAUUCAGCCGGUCAGUAUGACGUGAGCAAUGAGCACUACUGUUGGCUUGUGGAGUCCGCCUCGACUGGUGGGCCCGGUUCUCCCAUGGAUCGGGUGCCUGUGUGACACAUCGUCACUGGACGCUUUACAUUGACCCAGCUGCUGGCCGGUGCACUUCCUCAGGGUGUAAGCCACGACCGCCGUUGCUGUCGGUCUGCCGGGGCCAACCUAUCUGGACGGACUGUUAUGGUUCGGCCAGGUUGGGAUGGCAGGUGCCUCGAUGUAGAUUGGCCUUGUGUCCUUCUGCGUCAAGUGUUAUAGCCGGUCCCGGUGGCUCUUAAAACUGUGCAGUGCGGUGGAGAUUGCGACGUGUUGGCAAUGGCAGGCGUGCUAAUGUCCGCCGGCGUGCUACAAGUCUGGCUGCCUGUUGUCGAUUUCACUUUUGACCUGGUGGUGGCUUGUUCACGGUGUUGUGGACGGCGGCGUUUGCUAGCCAAUCUAGCGACUGGUCGGUUUAAUCAUCGGCUGUUUGUUAGGCUAUCGUCGUCCACAGUCUGUGGCGUAGUGGUAGACGAUCCACCCGACCCGUCUUGAAACACGGACCAAGGAGUUUAACAUGUGCGCGAGUCAAUGGGUGUGGACUUCACGGUGCACGAAACCCAGAGGCGCAGUGAAAGUGAAGGUCGCGACUCACGUGUGGGUGUAACAGCCCGUAUGUGAUUCUGACUGAGGUGAGAUCCCGUUGGAUCCUAGGCUGACCUGGUCAUGCAUUAGACCGGCGGGCGCAUCACCGGCCCGUCCCAUGGUGUACCUCACCGGGGCGGAGCAAGAGCGUACAUGUUGAGACCCGAAAGAUGGUGAACUAUGCUUGCGCAGGUUGAAGCCGGAGGAAACUCUGGUGGAGGACCGUAGCGAUUCUGACGUGCAAAUCGAUCGUAUGACGUGAGUAUAGGGGCGAAAGACUAAUCGAACCAUCUAGUAGCUGGUUCCCU
This 1404-nucleotide ribosomal RNA is filed under the name Pseudopolystoma dendriticum. Its description in RNAcentral is "eukaryotic LSU rRNA". It matches the Rfam family "Eukaryotic large subunit ribosomal RNA", at positions 41 to 960 of the family's 3401-position model. The record is from RNAcentral. Lineage: Eukaryota; Metazoa; Platyhelminthes; Monogenea; Polystomatidea; Polystomatidae.